Molecule: ribosomal RNA, 253 nt
Filed under: uncultured bacterium
Lineage: Bacteria
Description: partial 16S ribosomal RNA
Rfam family: Bacterial small subunit ribosomal RNA
Source: RNAcentral
GACGUAGGAGGCGAGCGUUGUCCGGAUUCAUUGGGCGUAAAGAGCACGCAGGCGGUUUGGCAAGUCGGAUGUGAAAACCCGGAGCUCAACUCCGGACCUGCAUCCGAAACUGCCCGACUAGAGGUAGGUAGGGGAGACUGGAAUUCCUGGUGUAGCGGUGAAAUGCGCAGAUAUCAGGAGGAACACCGAUGGCGAAGGCAGGUCUCUGGGCAUUAACUGACGCUGAGGAGCGAAAGCAUGGGGAGCGAACAGG